CAGACUGCUGAGUACCAACAUGUCCAAAUACGACUCUGUGACAUUCUGGGUCAAACUGGUCAACGGAACCAAGGCCAGCUGUAUCACUGUUAAAAUAACCUCAGAUAACGCUGUUGUGUACUGCGACGGAUUUUCAAAGGAAAAAUAUGAAAUGACAUCCAACAUCUCCACUGUCUUUCUCAAGAUCAAACAUUUGGAAUUAUCUGACUCUGGACUUUAUUUUGUGGAUUUACGAAAGUGGACGUCCAAAUUUCAGUGUGAUACAUUUGCAUGUUAAAGAAGGCAGAGAUGGGCCACAUGAUGACAUGGACAGCAAGUGUAAAAAAGAGUCUGAUGGAACAGCAGAGCUGAUGAUUGUCGUGCUCGGUGGUCUGACUGUUGUCCUUGUAAUGGUCAUCAUAGGUCUGGUUGUUAAAAACAGGAAACUUCAGACAGCUGAUAAAGAAGGACAGAAUCCAGAGCAAAUAGAGAAUGCAGGCUCUGAUGACGUGAACUAUGCAGCAGUGGCAUUUCGACCAAAAACUAAAAGAAGAGAGCC
Dicentrarchus labrax (European seabass) is the source of this 538-nucleotide long non-coding RNA. RefSeq lists it as uncharacterized. The record is from RefSeq and is a predicted model, not a curated record. The transcript is spliced from 5 exons. Lineage: Eukaryota; Metazoa; Chordata; Actinopteri; Moronidae.